UCAACAGUCUUGCCCCUGUAUAAAUCACCAA
This 31-nucleotide non-coding RNA is filed under the name Rattus norvegicus (Norway rat). Lineage: Eukaryota; Metazoa; Chordata; Mammalia; Rodentia; Muridae. The record is from RNAcentral.